GAUGAACGCUGGCGGCGUGCCUAAUACAUGCAAGUCGAGCGAACAGAUGAUGAGCUUGCUCCUCUGACGUUAGCGGCGGACGGGUGAGUAACACGUGGAUAACCUACCUAUAAGACUGGGAUAACUUCGGGAAACCGGAGCUAAUACCGGAUAAUAUAUUGAACCGCAUGGUUCAAUAGUGAAAGACGGUUUUGCUGUCACUUAUAGAUGGAUCCGCGCCGCAUUAGCUAGUUGGUAAGGUAACGGCUUACCAAGGCAACGAUGCGUAGCCGACCUGAGAGGGUGAUCGGCCACACUGGAACUGAGACACGGUCCAGACUCCUACGGGAGGCAGCAGUAGGGAAUAUUCCGCAAUGGGCGAAAGCCUGACGGAGCCACGCCGCGUGAGUGAUGAAGGUCUUCGGAUCGUAAAACCCUGUUAUUAGGGAAGAACAAAUGUGUAAGUAACUAUGCACGUCUUGACGGUACCUAAUCAGAAAGCCCCGGCUAACUACGUG
This 497-nucleotide ribosomal RNA is filed under the name uncultured bacterium. Its description in RNAcentral is "partial 16S ribosomal RNA". It matches the Rfam family "Bacterial small subunit ribosomal RNA", at positions 28 to 507 of the family's 1533-position model. The record is from RNAcentral.